GACCUCGGAUCAGGUAGGGAUACCCGCUGAACUUAAGCAUAUCAAUAAGCGGAGGAAAAGAAACUAACAAGGAUUGCCCUAGUAACGGCGAGUGAAGCGGGAAGAGCUCAAAUUUGAAAUCUGGUAGCCUUCGGUUGCCCGAGUUGUAAUCUAGAGAAAUGUUUUCCGUGCCGGCCCAUGUACAAGUCCCUUGGAACAGGGCGUCAUAGAGGGUGAGAAUCCCGUCCUUGACAUGGACCCCCGGUGCUUUGUGAUACAUUUUCAACGAGUCGAGUUGUUUGGGAAUGCAGCUCUAAAUGGGUGGUAUAUUUCAUCUAAAGCUAAAUAUUGGCCAGAGACCGAUAGCGCACAAGUAGAGUGAUCGAAAGAUGAAAAGCACUUUGGAAAGAGAGUUAAACAGUACGUGAAAUUGUUGAAAGGGAAGCGCUUGCAACCAGACUUGCACCCCGUCGAUCAUCCCCCGUUCUCGGAGGUGCACUCGGCGGGGUUCAGGCCAGCAUCGGUUUCGGUGGUGGGAUAAAGGCCUUGGGAACGUAGCUCCUCUCGGGGAGUGUUAUAGCCCUCGGUGCAAUGCCGCCUACCGGGACCGAGGACCGCGCUUCGGCUAGGAUGCUGGCGUAAUGGUUGUAAGCGACCCGUCUUGAAACACGGACCAAGGAGUCUAAC
This 666-nucleotide ribosomal RNA is filed under the name Picocystis salinarum. RNAcentral's name for it is "partial Eukaryotic large subunit ribosomal RNA". It matches the Rfam family "Eukaryotic large subunit ribosomal RNA", at positions 1 to 679 of the family's 3401-position model. The record is from RNAcentral. Lineage: Eukaryota; Viridiplantae; Chlorophyta; Picocystophyceae; Picocystales; Picocystaceae.